UAGUCCACGCUGUAAACGAUGUCAACUAGCCGUUGGGGGGUAAUCCCUUUAGUGGCGCAGCUAACGCGAUAAGUUGACCGCCUGGGGAGUACGGUCGCAAGAUUAAAACUCAAAUGAAUUGACGGGGGCCCGCACAAGCGGUGGAGCAUGUGGUUUAAUUCGACGCAACGCGAAGAACCUUACCUGGUCUUGACAUCCUGCGAACUUUCUAGAGAUAGAUUGGUGCCUUCGGGAACGCAGUGACAGGUGCUGCAUGGCUGUCGUCAGCUCGUGUCGUGAGAUGUUGGGUUAAGUCCCGUAACGAGCGCAACCCUUGUCCUUAGUUGCCAUCACUUAGGGUGGGCACUUUAGGGAGACUGCCGGUGACAAACCGGAGGAAGGUGGGGACGACGUCAAAUCAUCAUGGCCCUUACGACCAGGGCUACACACGUGCUACAAUGGGAAGUACAAAGGGUUGCAACCCCGCGAGGGUGAGCUAAUCCCAUAAAACUUUUCGUAGUCCGGAUUGGAGUCUGCAACUCGACUCCA
Molecule: ribosomal RNA, 528 nt
Filed under: uncultured bacterium
Lineage: Bacteria
Description: bacterial SSU rRNA
Rfam family: Bacterial small subunit ribosomal RNA
Source: RNAcentral